UACGUAGGGGGCAAGCGUUGUCCGGAUUCAUUGGGCGUAAAGAGCGUGUAGGCGGCCAGGUAGGUCGGUUGUGAAAACUGGAGGCUCAACCUUCAGAGGUCGACCGAAACCAUCUGGCUAGAGUCCGGGAGAGGAGAGUGGAAUUCCUGGUGUAGCGGUGAAAUGCGCAGAUAUCAGGAGGAACACCGGUGGCGAAGGCGGUUCUCUGGGCCUUACCUGACGCUGGAGGAGCGAAAGCGUGGGGAGCGAACAGG
RNAcentral lists this ribosomal RNA (254 nucleotides) under uncultured bacterium. RNAcentral describes it as "partial 16S ribosomal RNA". It matches the Rfam family "Bacterial small subunit ribosomal RNA", at positions 524 to 776 of the family's 1533-position model. The record is from RNAcentral.